GACAGAGGUGCCGAGCGUUAGGCGGAAUCACUGGGCUUAAAGCGUGUGUAGGCGGAUCGUUAAGUGCCUUGUGAAAUCCCACGGCUCACCCGUGGAACUGCUGGGCAUACUGGCGGUCUUGAGCCACCUAGGGGCAACCGGAACAAACGGUGGAGCGGUGAAAUGCGUAGAUAUCAUUUGGAACGCCAAUGGUGAAAACAGCUCGCUGGGGGUUUGCUGACGCUGAGACACGAAAGCCAGGGGAGCAAACGGG
This 253-nucleotide ribosomal RNA is filed under the name uncultured bacterium. Its description in RNAcentral is "partial 16S ribosomal RNA". It matches the Rfam family "Bacterial small subunit ribosomal RNA", at positions 524 to 776 of the family's 1533-position model. The record is from RNAcentral.